GACGAACGCUGGCGGCGUGCUUAACACAUGCAAGUCGAACGGAAAGGCCCUGCUUGCAGGGUACUCGAGUGGCGAACGGGUGAGUAACACGUGGGUGAUCUGCCCUGCACUUCGGGAUAAGCCUGGGAAACUGGGUCUAAUACCGGAUAGGAGCCAUUUUUAGUGUGAUGGUUGGAAAGUUUUUUCGGUGUAGGAUGAGCUCGCGGCCUAUCAGCUUGUUGGCGGGGUAAUGGCCUACCAAGGCGGCGACGGGUAGCCGGCCUGAGAGGGUGGACGGCCACAUUGGGACUGAGAUACGGCCCAGACUCCUACGGGAGGCAGCAGUGGGGAAUAUUGCACAAUGGGCGCAAGCCUGAUGCAGCGACGCCGCGUGGGGGAGGACGGCCUUCGGGUUGUAAACUCCUUUCGCUAGGGACGAAGCUUUUUGUGACGGUACCUAGAUAAGAAGCACCGGCUAACUACGUG
Molecule: ribosomal RNA, 465 nt
Filed under: uncultured bacterium
Lineage: Bacteria
Description: partial 16S ribosomal RNA
Rfam family: Bacterial small subunit ribosomal RNA
Source: RNAcentral